CUCUUUCAGUAGGGAAGAAGCGAAAGUGACGGUACCUGCAGAAGAAGCGCCGGCUAACUACGUGCCAGCAGCCGCGGUAAUACGUAGGGCGCAAGCGUUAUCCGGAAUUAUUGGGCGUAAAGAGCUCGUAGGCGGUUUGUCGCGUCUGCCGUGAAAGUCCGGGGCUCAACUCCGGAUCUGCGGUGGGUACGGGCAGGCUAGAGUGAUGUAGGGGAGACUGGAAUUCCUGGUGUAGCGGUGAAAUGCGCAGAUAUCAGGAGGAACACCGAUGGCGAAGGCAGGUCUCUGGGCAUUAACUGACGCUGAGGAGCGAAAGCAUGGGGAGCGAACAGGAUUAGAUACCCUGGUAGUCCAUGCCGUAAACGUUGGGCACUAGGUGUGGGGGACAUUCCACGUUUUCCGCGCCGUAGCUAACGCAUUAAGUGCCCCGCCUGGGGAGUACGGCCGCAAGGCUAAAACUCAAAGGAAUUGACGGGGGCCCGCACAAGCGGCGGAGCAUGCGGAUUAAUUCGAUGCAACGCGAAGAACCUUACCAAGGCUUGACAUGGACCGGACCGCCGCAGAGAUGUGGUUUCUCCUUUUGGGGCCGGUUCACAGGUGGUGCAUGGUUGUCGUCAGCUCGUGUCGUGAGAUGUUGGGUUAAGUCCCGCAACGAGCGCAACCCUCGUUCCAUGUUGCCAGCGCGUA
RNAcentral lists this ribosomal RNA (687 nucleotides) under uncultured Arthrobacter sp. RNAcentral's name for it is "bacterial SSU rRNA". It matches the Rfam family "Bacterial small subunit ribosomal RNA", at positions 431 to 1127 of the family's 1533-position model. Lineage: Bacteria; Bacillati; Actinomycetota; Actinomycetes; Micrococcales; Micrococcaceae. The record is from RNAcentral.